GAGGGUAAUACUCAGUGGUAGAGCACAUGCUUACUGUGCAUGAGGUCCUAGGUUCAAAUCCCCAGUAUCUCCA
This 73-nucleotide transfer RNA is filed under the name Camelus bactrianus (Bactrian camel). It matches the Rfam family "tRNA". From Rfam's summary of the family: Transfer RNA (tRNA) molecules are approximately 80 nucleotides in length. The record is from Rfam by way of RNAcentral. RNAcentral also lists the same sequence under 2 other names. Lineage: Eukaryota; Metazoa; Chordata; Mammalia; Artiodactyla; Camelidae.